CAACCAUCAAGCCUGAGCUUGGUAUUGGAUGCCACCGGCUGGGUGCAUCUCAAAAUUAGUGGCGGUGCUAUUUAGCUUCAAGCGUAGUAAAUUUUCUCGCUCCUGGAGUUUUGGGUGGUGCCUGCUAGAACCCCUAAUUUAUAAAG
RNAcentral lists this unclassified non-coding RNA (146 nucleotides) under uncultured Ascomycota. RNAcentral describes it as "sequence contains ITS2". Lineage: Eukaryota; Fungi; Ascomycota. The record is from RNAcentral.